GUGCCCUGUGAUUACUAAAAGACGCGUUAUUACGAGGACAAAUGCUGGCUACUCGCCCCCCCUCCCUACAUCCACACCCAUUCUUGCCCCAAUUCUUCCCUUCUAUUUCUCUACUCUCUCCCCUCUUUCUGAGUAACCAGUGUCCACUGAGCACGAUUAUGAGAUCUGAGGGCUU
Molecule: non-coding RNA, 175 nt
Organism: Xenopus laevis (African clawed frog)
Lineage: Eukaryota; Metazoa; Chordata; Amphibia; Anura; Pipidae
Source: Rfam